AUACGACCACAUCACGUUAAGACUCCGGUUCCCGUAUGAUCACUGGAGCUAAGCAACGUGAAGCCUGGUCAUUACCUAGAUGGGUGACCGCUUGGAAAUAUAAGGUGC
This is a non-coding RNA of Acanthosepion pharaonis, 108 nucleotides long. Lineage: Eukaryota; Metazoa; Mollusca; Cephalopoda; Sepiida; Sepiidae. The record is from the annotation of a GenBank genome assembly.